UCUGCCUGCCAAUGCCGGAGACAUAGAAGAUGAAGCUUCAAUCUCUGGGUAGGGAAGAUCCCCUGAAUGAGGAAAUGGCAAUCCACUGCAGUAUUAUUGCCUGGAGAAUCCCAUGGACAGAGGAGCCUGGUGGGCUACAGUCCAUGGGGUUGCAGAGUUGGACACGACUUAACGACUGAGCAUGUGCGCCCACACACACACACACACACAAUCACACACACACAGGUUUACAAGAACUGGAGUGGGGAGGGGUUCUUGAGUUCUACUUUUGUCAACUACAAACGUGCUUGCCAAGGGCAUUUGGCAUCUGCCUCUGUAGAGACUGAACCCUGUGCUGCUGCAGCUAUUGACCUUCAACAUCCCCUGAAGCAAGUCCAGGGUGGAGAGUGAGGCUCUCUGUGCUCCAGGGAAACGGGUGGAACAGGUAUUUAGGUAGUUAGGUAUUUUCAGGAACUGAUUUCAUGAUCCCAAUCCUUGCAUCUCCUCAUAUCUAGAAAAGCACGAAAUCCCUUCAUGGUGACAUCAGCUCCUCGUGACUAGCAGAAAAUCUUUUGUAAAGUAAGUGCUUGAUUGCAUUGAACUCUCCCUUUCACCCAAAUCAUAUAUAUUGACCUUGCCCCACUACCUCUUUCUCAGAGCUAUCUGAGAUGCCGUCUCCUGGGCUGCAGUCCUCAAUUUGCUCCCAAAUAAAACUCAAUUUGCAACUCUCACCUUGUGCAUCUUUUCAGUCCACACUUUCCACAAAAGGACUUAAUUACUGGGCAGCUUCUAUCAGAUCUUUGCUUCCCUUCUGUCUCUUAGUCAAAUUAGGAAAGUGGAGGGACCUACACAGAGCAACUCCACUCUCCUCCUGUCUUCCUUCUCCAGGAAGGAGAGCCUCUUGGCUUUUGUGGGAGAAAGAUGGGCCACUCCUGCCAAGCAGGAUCAACAAACACCUCCAAGGCCAAGGCACCUCUGCCAGCAUCACCCUGCAGAUGACUCAGCAGCCUGGCAGCUUGACAACCGGCCUCAGGGAACCCUCGAGCUAUUCCCUUUGGGGGACCCUCAGUUCCCCCACCCCCAUCCGGAGAGUACCCUCCGUCCUCUCCAGGCCCAGGCUCAACUCAGACUCGUCUUGGGCCUCCUCCUGGGCUGGUUCUGAAUGUAAACCGCCAUCCGGGUCUUCAACUGGUCGGCAGGUGGCGGUAGGUGAGUUCUACACUUCCUGGUUCCAGCUUGGAUUCAUCUCCCAGGUUGCUCCCCAUGCCUUCACACCACACAGGCCUCUGGGGUCUGUCCACUGACGCUCCCAGUCCAGCCCCCUGCCUCCAGCCCCCGUUCAGGGCCACCUGGCUGCCUGUGACCCUUCUAGGCAAUAGCUUUUCUUCUAAUUAACUUUUUGUUUUGUUUUAAUGUGGACCACUUUUAAAGUCUUUAUUGAAUUUGUCACAAUAUGAUUUCUUUUUUAUGUUUUGGUUUUUUGGCCAUGAGCCAUGAAGAAUCUUAGCUUCCCAACCAGGGAUGGAACAAACACCCCCUGCAUUGAAAGGCGAAGACUUAGCCACUGAACCUCCAAGGAAGUCCCUUUAAUUAACUGUUUAUGAUGAAACACGAUGUCUGAUUAGAGGAACAGAAGCUUGUUCUGUUUGCCCAAGCUAACAGGUAAAACUUGCUAACAAAUCCUCUGUCAGCAAAUUACCUUGCAAGGGAUGGUGCUCUGCUAGAAGACCUGCAGCCCCUCCUCAACUGUUUAAGUCGGGAGCCCAGCACCCUGCCAGAGGAGGGAACGCAGGAUCUGUCCCCAGGUUUGGCCAAGACCACUCCUGUCCAGAGGCCUUGGUGCAGAGAGGCUGCUGAGAGGACGCGGGGACAUUCCACUCACCCCUGCGUAUACUCUACCUCUGGCAAACACCAGUCUGUUCUCUGGAUCUGUGAUUUCAAUUUCUGUUUGGGGAGGUUUUUUUCCUUUCAAUUCCACAUGUGAGUGAGAUCAUGCGAUAUUUAUCUUUGUCUUAUUUCAUUCAGCAUGAUGUCCUUGCUGUUGUCAAAAAUGACAGGAUCAAAAGUCUUCUUUACUUGAGGAAAUGACUUAAAAAAAAAACAAAACCCAGUUAGGCCCUCCCUAGAGCAUCCCUGCAUGUAAGUCACUUCAGUCAGGUCCGACCCUGUGCAAUCCCGGGGACCAUAGCCCUCCAGGCUCCUCUGUCCAUGGGAUUCAAGCAAGCAUACUGGAGUGGGUUGCCAUGACCUCCUCCGGGGGAUCUCCCCAACCCAGGGGUCAAACUCGUGUCUCUUAAGUCUCCUGCAUUGGCAGUCGGGUUCUUUACUGCUAGUGCCAUCUGGGAAGCCCAAACCCAGAAAGGGCUGAUGACAAAAGAGUUUACUUGUUUCUAAAACAAACCUAAGUUAUUAUUUCCCUCAUGGGAACAUGACCCUCUUUUUCUUUUUGAGGUCCUUGAUUGUUUGCAAUAAAAAUACAGUUCGAUGUUUGUUUAAGGACUGA
RNAcentral lists this long non-coding RNA (2482 nucleotides) under Bos indicus x Bos taurus (hybrid cattle). Its description in RNAcentral is "lncRNA (ENSBIXG00005025719.1)". The record is from RNAcentral. Lineage: Eukaryota; Metazoa; Chordata; Mammalia; Artiodactyla; Bovidae.